Molecule: non-coding RNA, 48 nt
Filed under: Schistosoma mattheei
Lineage: Eukaryota; Metazoa; Platyhelminthes; Trematoda; Strigeidida; Schistosomatidae
Source: RNAcentral
GCACUGCUGAAGAGUCCAAAAAAAUAGGACGAAACAGCCGUCCAGUGC